CCUGCUUGUUGCUGGUUCAUCUGUGUCGUCUCCCUGAGUUUCUCCCUCCAUGUCAUCAGGUUCCAGCUCCUCAUACAUCUCUUCUUUCUCCCUUCUACUUUGCUCCUGUUAACCAAGGCUGUUGAGCAGACAGGAGGGAUGAACACAAUGUGAGGCUGUCACACUUGUCUGCCAUCUGCAAAGAGCCUUGUCACCAUCUCUUUUCUUAGCCCUACAUCUGGAAAUGGCUGCUAGUAUCCACCAACAAGGUUGCAAAUCUACAACGGAGUUUGUGGAUGAAAUAAGCAGGAGAGCAGGAAGAUUGAGUUCUGGAUGUUUGUGUGUGCUCGGAAAGAUAGACGGAAAUGCUGCCAAGCUGAUGUCAGUGAUAGGACCUAAUCUAGCAGCUUUUGGCAGGGUGGGCUGCCAACCCU
Molecule: long non-coding RNA, 413 nt
Organism: Oreochromis niloticus (Nile tilapia)
Lineage: Eukaryota; Metazoa; Chordata; Actinopteri; Cichliformes; Cichlidae
Exons: 2
Source: RefSeq, a predicted model, not a curated record